This 766-nucleotide long non-coding RNA is filed under the name Gallus gallus (chicken). The record is from RNAcentral. Lineage: Eukaryota; Metazoa; Chordata; Aves; Galliformes; Phasianidae.
CUUCAUCUCUUCUUUUAGCACCAGUAUCUUCUCAGCAAUUCGCACACAGGUCAGAAUACGUUCUAUGUUUACCCUAUCUCAACAUUAUUACCUCUUUUGGUAAGUAAGAAAAUACUAGUAUUUAAAACUUGAUAGCCCAACACAAAACAUACACAUCCCAAUUGGCCAUCAAAACUGAACUGUAAAGACUUGCAAAAAAUAACUGCCUGUCUCUGGGUAUUUCUUUGCCUUUUUUAUGCUUCUGCUCAAACAGAGAACUCACCAAAUAACAGUCAGUCUCCUUUAUUUGCAGCCGCGGAGAAAUGCACUUGGUCACGUAGCUCCAAAUUUUCACCUACCCUGCAUGGGGCUUGUAUUUUUAAGGCAGUUGUGAUUAUUGCAGCUAUACGUUCCAAGAAGGGACAGAACAGAAGGAAAAAAAAGAUCUACCAAAUGAAGAAAGGAGUAGAAAGAAUAUCAGUGCUUCUGGUGACAUCUGUGCCGUCCACCUUCUGUGAGCUGCAGUCUAAAUAUCUACUGACAAUUUAAGGUUCUUCGAGGAUACCAGACUUCCCAGUAUAUUGCCACGUCUCGUGGUAUCACCUCAGCUGGCAUUAGGAAUUGAUGUCCAAGGGUACUGCACGGCUGCCAGGACCUGGGAAACACUUCACUUCUUGGGCAGUCACAUCUGCCCCCAACAAGCCAUGCUGGCAUGCUUUCUAAACACAGAUGUAUUGUAGAGUAAACUGUCUACAAUUAUACAGACUGGAGUGAGUUAAUAAACUGC